AUUGAACGCUGGCGGCAGGCUUAACACAUGCAAGUCGAGGGGCAGCGCGGGUAGCAAUACCUGGCGGCGACCGGCAAACGGGUGCGGAACACGUACACAAUUUACCUUCGUCUGGGGCAUAGCCCGAAGAAAUUCGGAUUAACACCGCAUAAAAUCACAGUACCGCAUGGUACAAUGAUCAAAUAUUUAUAGGAUUGAGA
RNAcentral lists this ribosomal RNA (200 nucleotides) under uncultured bacterium. Its description in RNAcentral is "partial 16S ribosomal RNA". It matches the Rfam family "Bacterial small subunit ribosomal RNA", at positions 30 to 225 of the family's 1533-position model. The record is from RNAcentral.